Molecule: ribosomal RNA, 253 nt
Filed under: uncultured bacterium
Lineage: Bacteria
Description: partial 16S ribosomal RNA
Rfam family: Bacterial small subunit ribosomal RNA
Source: RNAcentral
UACGAAGGGGACUAGCGUUGUUCGGAAUCACUGGGCGUAAAGCGCACGUAGGCGGAUGUGUCAGUCAGGGGUGAAAUCCCGGGGCUCAACCUCGGAACUGCCUUUGAUACAGCACGUCUCGAGUCCGGAAGAGGUGGGUGGAAUUCCUAGUGUAGAGGUGAAAUUCGUAGAUAUUAGGAAGAACACCGGUGGCGAAGGCGGCGACCUGGGUCGAGACUGACGCUGAUGCGCGAAAGCGUGGGGAGCAAACAGG